This 460-nucleotide ribosomal RNA is filed under the name uncultured bacterium. RNAcentral's name for it is "partial 16S ribosomal RNA". It matches the Rfam family "Bacterial small subunit ribosomal RNA", at positions 338 to 795 of the family's 1533-position model. The record is from RNAcentral.
CCUACGGGUGGCAGCAGUGAGGAAUAUUCGUCAAUGGGCGGAAGCCUGAACCAGCCAAGUCGCGUGAGCGAAUAAGGCCCUACGGGUCGUAAACCUCUUUUGCCGGGGAGCAAGGGCGGGGACGUGUCCCGGCCCGGAGAGUACCCGGAGAACAAGCAUCGGCUAACUACGUUCCAGCAGCCGCGGUAAUACGGAGGAUGCGAGCGUUAUCCGGAUUUAUUGGGUUAAAGGGGUGCGUAGGCGGGCUGUUAAGUCAGCGGUAAAAAUUCGGGGCUCAACCCCGUCCGGCCGUUGAAACUAGGGGCCUAGAGUGGGCGAGAAGAAGGCGGAAUGCGUGGUGUAGCGGUGAAAUGCAUAGAUAUCACGCAGAACACCGAUUGCGAAGGCAGCCUUCCGGCGCCCUACUGACGCUGAGGCACGAAAGUGCGGGGAGCGAACAGGAUUAGAUACCCCUGUAGUC